Molecule: ribosomal RNA, 253 nt
Filed under: uncultured bacterium
Lineage: Bacteria
Description: partial 16S ribosomal RNA
Rfam family: Bacterial small subunit ribosomal RNA
Source: RNAcentral
UACGUAGGUGACAAGCGUUGUCCGGAUUUACUGGGCGUAAAGAGCGCGCAGGCGGUCGUUCAAGUCGAGUGUGAAAGCCCCCGGCUCAACUGGGGAGGGUCAUUCGAUACUGAUCGACUCGAAGGCAGGAGAGGGUAGUGGAAUUCCCGGUGUAGUGGUGAAAUGCGUAGAUAUCGGGAGGAACACCGGUGGCGAAGGCGGCGACCUGGGUCGACACUGACGCUGAGGCGCGAAAGCGUGGGGAGCAAACAGG